Molecule: ribosomal RNA, 1215 nt
Filed under: Triticum aestivum (bread wheat)
Lineage: Eukaryota; Viridiplantae; Streptophyta; Magnoliopsida; Poales; Poaceae
Description: partial small subunit ribosomal RNA
Source: RNAcentral
AUGGUCGACAGCCUCCACCUCGCCGGCGAAGAGGAGCAAGAAAGGGGGCAAGGACCCCAGCUCGUAGAUUCGCUUCUCUUUCUGCAACUCCAUCCAUUGCUCGACACGGUGGCGGUAGUUCCCCGAGCGCCAGCGCCGGAGGUCGAUGACCAUGACGCCGGUGUUGAAGUAGCAGGGCGCGCGGCGGCGGCCCGCGAAGACGCGCUCGCCGAGGUCCGGGUCGGACCAGAAGGCGUCGGUGAAGUAGCGGGAGAAGUUGGCGUGGCAGUACUCGGGCGCGGCGACGACGGCGGCGGCGGGCAGGCGCGUCUCCCAGAGGCGGCGCACGUUGUCGACGGCGAGCACGUCCGAGUCGAGGUAAAUGGCCCGCGGCACGCACUUGGGGAGCAGGUCGGCGAGGUAGUUCCUGGCGUAGUUGAGCGGCGCCUCGAGCGCGGCGCGCACCGAGGCGGAGAUGAGCCCCGUGACGGCGUCGGCGCGGAACGGGUAGAUCUCGAACCGCAGCGACGGGAAGGAGGCGGCGAGCGCGCUCCGGAGCUCGCCCACCCCGGGCUCGGGGCCGUCCGCGGCGAGGAAAUGGAAGAAGAGCGACUCCGGGCAGGAGGCGUGCUUGAGCAGCGAAUAGAUGGCGGCCAUGGAGCCCCGGAGGUAGUGCGCGUCGAGCGUCAUCGCGAUGUGGACGAGCCCCGGGUCGCACACCCCCGCGCCGGCCACCGCCGCCGGGCAGCCCUCCCCGUUCCGGUACUCGGGGGCCUCCGCGAACCUCGGCAGCGCCCCCUCCGCCCCCGCCCCCGAUGCGGCCAACAACAACAAGAAGGCCGCCAGGACCGCCAGCCCGGCCCGCAUCGCCGGCGCGGCCGCGGCCAUCGCCCCCGCCGGCGCCGGCUAGGGCUAGGGCUCCCCCUCUUUCUCUCCCUCCCUCCCCCCUCCUCUCUCUCUCGUCCGGUGGGAACGAGGGGGGCCUGGGUCGGGCUCGCUCUUCCUCUCUCUCUCCUCUCUCUCUGGUUGGGUUGGGGAGGGGAACGAAGUGGUCGGCGUCUGUUCCAACCAAUCCCUCCUUGGCUCCUCCCGUCGCUCGUUGGUAUGGAAUGGAUCCCCCGAACUCCGAUGGUUUGUUUUCCGGGGGGCGAUAUAUAUGUGGCGCUACCAAUAAAGCCCCGUGUUAUAUACGCGGGUGGGGCCCCAAGCGCGCUCGGGCUCGGGAUGACGCGCUAA